AUUCUAUGUCCCCAGCUCGAUGUCCCCAACUCCGUGUCCUCAGCUCCACCCAGUGUCCUCACCUCCGUCCCGUGUCCUCAGCUGUGUCCUCUGUCCUCUGCUCCAACAGAGCCGGCAGCUGUGAGCUGAUUGCGCCCGCUCGUUAUGCAGCCUGUAUCGCUAAUGGCCUGUGACAAAGGCACACGGCUUCCAGGCCUCACCCCCGAGAGCCAAUUAAACACACACACUCCCUUCCUGUUUGCAGCGCAUUACAAUGAAAUUAAACUGAAUUUCAAAAUCA
Molecule: long non-coding RNA, 280 nt
Organism: Herpailurus yagouaroundi (jaguarundi)
Lineage: Eukaryota; Metazoa; Chordata; Mammalia; Carnivora; Felidae
Exons: 2
Source: RefSeq, a predicted model, not a curated record